This 254-nucleotide long non-coding RNA is filed under the name Physcomitrium patens. RNAcentral's name for it is "long non-coding RNA (PPAT_LNC009403)". Lineage: Eukaryota; Viridiplantae; Streptophyta; Bryopsida; Funariales; Funariaceae. The record is from RNAcentral.
UAGGAUUUAGAUUAGAGUUUAGAUUAGGAUUUAUGAUUUGGUUUAGAGAUUGGUUUAAGAUUUAGGAUUUGGUUUAGGGAUUGGUUUAAGAUUUAGGAUUUGAUUAAGGUUUGAUUAGGAUUUUAUUAGGAUUUUAUUUAAGAUUUAGGAUUUAAGAUUUAAUUAGUUUUGGUCUAAAGUUUGAAUGAAGUUCAAUAGAAUUUUGACUAAAAUUAAAUAAAGAUUGAAUUGAGAUGUAUUUGAGUGAUAUUUGU